UGGGGAAUUUUGGACAAUGGGGGAAACCCUGAUCCAGCAAUGCCGCGUGUGUGAAGAAGGCCUUCGGGUUGUAAAGCACUUUUGUCCGGAAAGAAAACCUUUGGGCUAAUACCCUGAGGGGAUGACGGUACCGGAAGAAUAAGCACCGGCUAACUACGUGCCAGCAGCCGCGGUAAUACGUAGGGUGCGAGCGUUAAUCGGAAUUACUGGGCGUAAAGCGUGCGCAGGCGGUUCGUUAAGACAGAUGUGAAAUCCCCGGGCUUAACCUGGGAACUGCAUUCGUGACUGGCGAGCUAGAGUAUGGCAGAGGGGGGUAGAAUUCCACGUGUAGCAGUGAAAUGCGUAGAGAUGUGGAGGAAUACCGAUGGCGAAGGCAGCCCCCUGGGCCAAUACUGACGCUCAUGCACGAAAGCGUGGGGAGCAAA
RNAcentral lists this ribosomal RNA (425 nucleotides) under uncultured bacterium. Its description in RNAcentral is "bacterial SSU rRNA". It matches the Rfam family "Bacterial small subunit ribosomal RNA", at positions 355 to 772 of the family's 1533-position model. The record is from RNAcentral.